Molecule: ribosomal RNA, 253 nt
Filed under: uncultured bacterium
Lineage: Bacteria
Description: partial 16S ribosomal RNA
Rfam family: Bacterial small subunit ribosomal RNA
Source: RNAcentral
UACGUAGGGUGCGAGCGUUAAUCGGAAUUAUUGGGCGUAAAGAGCUCGUAGGCGGUCUGUCGCGUCGGCUGUGAAAUCUCGGGGCUCAACCCCGAGCCUGCAGUCGAUACGGGCAGACUUGAGUGCUGUAGGGGAGACUGGAAUUCCUGGUGUAGCGGUGAAAUGCGCAGAUAUCAGGAGGAACACCGGUGGCGAAGGCGGGUCUCUGGGCAGUAACUGACGCUGAGGAGCGAAAGCGUGGGGAGCAAACAGG